UCACAGCAACGCGGCAAACAUGAGACGCGUAGAGGUUUGACCCGGGCUUCCUAAGUCGUAACAACGCUACCCGUAGUAGUUUGAUUCUUGCUCAGGACGAACGCUGGCGGCGUGCCUAAUACAUGCAAGUCGAGCGGACAGAUGGGAGCUUGCUCCCUGAUGUUAGCGGCGGACGGGUGAGUAACACGUGGGUAACCUGCCUGUAAGACUGGGAUAACUCCGGGAAACCGGGGCUAAUACCGGAUGGUUGUUUGAACCGCAUGGUUCAAACAUAAAAGGUGGCUUCGGCUACCACUUACAGAUGGACCCGCGGCGCAUUAGCUAGUUGGUGAGGUAACGGCUCACCAAGGCAACGAUGCGUAGCCGACCUGAGAGGGUGAUCGGCCACACUGGGACUGAGACACGGCCCAGACUCCUACGGGAGGCAGCAGUAGGGAAUCUUCCGCAAUGGACGAAAGUCUGACGGAGCAACGCCGCGUGAGUGAUGAAGGUUUUCGGAUCGUAAAGCUCUGUUGUUAGGGAAGAACAAGUACCGUUCGAAUAGGGCGGUACCUUGACGGUACCUAACCAGAAAGCCACGGCUAACUACGUGCCAGCAGCCGCGGUAAUACGUAGGUGGCAAGCGUUGUCCGGAAUUAUUGGGCGUAAAGGGCUCGCAGGCGGUUUCUUAAGUCUGAUGUGAAAGCCCCCGGCUCAACCGGGGAGGGUCAUUGGAAACUGGGGAACUUGAGUGCAGAAGAGGAGAGUGGAAUUCCACGUGUAGCGGUGAAAUGCGUAGAGAUGUGGAGGAACACCAGUGGCGAAGGCGACUCUCUGGUCUGUAACUGACGCUGAGGAGCGAAAGCGUGGGGAGCGAACAGGAUUAGAUACCCUGGUAGUCCACGCCGUAAACGAUGAGUGCUAAGUGUUAGGGGGUUUCCGCCCCUUAGUGCUGCAGCUAACGCAUAAGCACUACCCGCC
This 960-nucleotide ribosomal RNA is filed under the name Bacillus subtilis. Its description in RNAcentral is "bacterial SSU rRNA". It matches the Rfam family "Bacterial small subunit ribosomal RNA", at positions 1 to 873 of the family's 1533-position model. The record is from RNAcentral. Lineage: Bacteria; Bacillati; Bacillota; Bacilli; Caryophanales; Bacillaceae.